GAUGAACGCUGGCGGCGUGCCUAACACAUGCAAGUCGAGCGAACAGAUGAGGAGCUUGCUCCUCUGACGUUAGAGGCGGAAGGGUGAGUAACACGUGGAUAACCUACCUAUAAGACUGGGAUAACUUCGGGAAACCGGAGCUAAUACCGGAUAAUAUAUUGAACCGUAUGGUUCAAUAGUGAAAGACGGUUUUGCUGUCACUUAUAGAUGGAUCCGCGCCGGAUUAGCUAGUUGGUAAGGUAACGGCUUACCAAGGCGACGAUGCGUAGCCGACCUGACAGGGUGAUCGGCCACACUGGAACUGAGACACGGUCCAGACUCCUACGGGAGGCAGCAGUAGGGAAUCUUCCGCAAUGGGCGAAAGACUGACGGAGCAACGCCGCGUGAGUGAUGAAGGGCUGCGGAUCGUAAAACUCUGUUAUUGGGGAAGAACAAAUGUGUAAGUAACUAUGCACGUCUUGACGGUACCUAAUCAGAAAGCCACGGCUAACUACGUG
This 497-nucleotide ribosomal RNA is filed under the name uncultured bacterium. RNAcentral's name for it is "partial 16S ribosomal RNA". It matches the Rfam family "Bacterial small subunit ribosomal RNA", at positions 28 to 507 of the family's 1533-position model. The record is from RNAcentral.